Camelus dromedarius (Arabian camel) is the source of this 2467-nucleotide long non-coding RNA. RefSeq lists it as uncharacterized. Lineage: Eukaryota; Metazoa; Chordata; Mammalia; Artiodactyla; Camelidae. The record is from RefSeq and is a predicted model, not a curated record. The transcript has 4 exons.
CAAAAAAGGGAUCCUUUCUCUCCAAAGAUUAUGAAAUCAAAGAGCAUUUUGUUGCUUCUUGGAAAUUCUUUCUAUGACUCGGAGGCCACACAAUUCAACAGACUUCCCAUUAUUACUAUUAUUAAAGUAUUUGAUCCAGUUCCGCCUCCUACUUUACCAACUUUCACACAGACCGAAAACUCAAGCGUUUACCUGGGCUCGCCCUUGGACGGGGCGAGCAGGUCACCCGCGCUUCCAGCCUCCACCUCCCCGGGUCUUGGCUCCAGGGCUCCCGCAAAAUCUUGAAAUCCCCCCAGAUCGGCGCGGUCACUGAGGGAAGCAGCCUGGCUCUGAACAAGCCCAGGCAAGCCCAGGCAGAGCCCGCUUCUAGGUCCUCCCUCCUGCGCGCAUCACCCGGCCCCGGGGCGGGAGACGCGUCUCUCCGGUUCCAGAUCCGGGGAGUCGACUCACCCUAGACGGAUCGGGCGCCGGCAUCUCCUCCAUCUGAGCAGGAAAAGGACCCAGUUCGCUGUUGGCUGCUUCACAGCUACGGAUCCUCCAGAUACAGAGGGCUGACCAGAUACUAAGACCACCAAAUUGCGUGCUUUAAAUGGUGAAAUUUAUGGAACGCCUUGGGAGAGCAGCCAUUUCUGGCCUCUGGGGACCUAGAGAAGCCAAGAAGCAAAGCAGCUGUGAAAGCCAGCGUACUUCGGGGCCAGGUGCGCACAGAAGCAGCCUGCAGGUGACGGCAGCUCAGGCCAGAUGCCUCACCCACAGCAGACAGAACAACCUCAAAGCAAGUUACCCCAAGAAAGCAAGUGACCCGCCCACCACGAUAGGAAUCAGCCCCGGAUGGGACAGAUCAACCCCUCGCCGAGCUUCUAAACUCAAGUGACCCAGCACACUGGCAAAACGUCUGAGUGUCCACUCUGGACUGGGCCUUGACUCAGCCAGGAAAAGACUGAACUGGAACCAUCAACUCUGUCACUGAGAAGUGACCCCAUCCUUUGGUGCUUUGCAACUCUAUGGUCAUACAGGGAAAAGCGACUGAUUGCUUAAAAUUGAAGUAUAGUUGAUUUACAACGUUUCAGGUACAUAGCAAAGUGACUCAGUUAUACAUACACACAUAUAUAUUUUCAGAUUCUUUCCCAUUAUAGGUUAUUAUAAGAUAUAGAAUAUAGUUCCCUGUGCUAUCCAGCAGGUCCUUGCUGUUUAUCUGUUUUAUAUAGCGACAGUAUAUCUGUUAAUCUCAAAUUUCUAAUUUACCCCUUUCUCCUAAAUGCUAUUUUUUUUUAAUGGAGGUACUGGAACUAGAACCCAGGACCUUGUGCAUGCUAAGCAUGCACUCUACCUUCUGAGCUAUUACCACCCCCCCACACCAAAUGCUAUUAAUUUUUAAAGGCAAGUAUCAUGCCAUAUAUUGUUUGUACCUAUUCAACAGCUCUGAUUUUCAUGUCAGUGGAUGCCCAGUAAAUACUUGUUGGGUUGAACCAAAUGAUCAAGAAUUUUGGGGGAGAAAUAAUAUUUUACACCAGCAAAGUAAAAAAGCUCUGUGUUGCCUAUUGGUCCCAUCUGAGAUGGCCCCAGUCAGAUUUCUUGGUUAACUUCCUCCACCUCUGUCAAGUCAACCCAUGUCUUAACAAGGGGUCUGGCAGCUCUCCUGCCCUGCAGCCAUUACAUCAACAAGAUGUGUAGUGCUUACGACACAGUCUUGCACCUGCCCCAACUGGAGAGCUAAAAAGUUUCCAGCUGGGCAGGAGAGCUUGCCAGCUAAAAAAAACAUUUUGCCAUAGAGAGGAAAGGUCAUCCCAUGACACAGGAAAAUCGGCCACUUUAUAGAUAAUCAUGGUAAUUCACCUCCACGUUGUGGAAGGUUACUAGUGAGCAGCAUUUUAGUGUUUUGGGCAUUCAGAUUGGUCCUACUCACAAACCCAAAUCAGCAUUAAACAAGUGGAACUGCUGGGGAGGAAAGAGGGAACUCACUGGGCCUGGAAGUGCGCUGAGACUCCGAAACCCCCAAACAAGGACAGAAAGACCAUCGGGGGAGCGGCUGUUGGAAAAAAAUGAGGCCAAACCCAGUGGCUGAUUCAUGUAGACUCUGCCUGGGAUGGUUACUGUCAUUCUGUAACAUUCCCCUAAAAGGGGGUGGGCACAAGGCCCCACCUGAAACCCAAGAUCCUGCAAAUGGACCGGAACGCCCAGUGUAGGGUUGCUGGUGGGCCAUUGCCUUGGUCCUUUGCCACCCUAUUCAAGGAUGGUCAGCUCUCCCUGGGCAUUUUGUUCAGCUUCCUCAGACAACAGAUGCGCACAUGGCUCGUAACGCCUACUCUGAGAAAUGGGAACAAGGAAGGGCCCAGUCCACCCUCCCCGCUGUUCUCCCCAAGACCCUUCAAAGAGGUCAAAACGAAAUGUGGGAGGACCCAGGAGAUGACACAGAUCCAGAACGGCAGGGAAACUUCUAAGUAAACUUUCUGUUUUAUCAGUCAAA